UCCCAGACUUCCUUGCAGUGUGAGGUGGCCACCUAAGUUUGGGUCAAUAGGAUGGGCAAAAAGUGAGGAUUGCAAUUUUCUUUUUUAUAUGUUAAGCAUGAGAAUUCUUAACAUUCAUCAAAGGAAAAAAAAACCCCACAAAAACUAAAAAAUAG
Molecule: long non-coding RNA, 155 nt
Organism: Sapajus apella (tufted capuchin)
Lineage: Eukaryota; Metazoa; Chordata; Mammalia; Primates; Cebidae
Exons: 3
Source: RefSeq, a predicted model, not a curated record